CCUACGGGUGGCAGCAGUAAGGAAUAUUGGACAAUGGACGCAAGUCUGAUCCAGCCAUCCCGCGUGAAGGAAUAAGGCCCUAUGGGUUGUAAACUUCUUUAGCUAGGGAAUAAAUCAUUGGAUUCAUCCGAUGUUGAAGGUACCUAGAGAAUAAGCACCGGCUAACUCCGUGCCAGCAGCCGCGGUAAUACGGAGGGUGCAAGCGUUAUCCGGAUUUACUGGGUUUAAAGGGUGCGUAGGUGGUUUAAUAAGUCAGUGGUGAAAUUUACCCGCUUAACGGGCAAGCUGCCAAUGAUACUGUUAAACUUGAAUAUGGUUGAAGUAGGCGGAAUAAAUCAUGUAGAGGUGAAAUUCUUAGAGAUGAUUUAGAACACCGAUUGCGAAGGCAGCUUACUAAGCCAAAAUUGACACUGAGGCACGAAAGCGUGGGGAUCAAACAGGAUUAGAUACCCUAGUAGUC
RNAcentral lists this ribosomal RNA (460 nucleotides) under uncultured bacterium. RNAcentral describes it as "bacterial SSU rRNA". It matches the Rfam family "Bacterial small subunit ribosomal RNA", at positions 338 to 795 of the family's 1533-position model. The record is from RNAcentral.